AUUGAACGCUGGCGGUAUGCUUAACACAUGCAAGUCGAACGAGUGGCGGACGGGUGAGUAAUGCAUAGGAAUCUACCUUUUAGUCUAGGAUAACUACCCGAAAGGGUGGCUAAUACUGGAUGCUAAGCGAUGUGCCUAUGUGGGAUUAGCUAGUUGGUGGGGUAAUGGCUCACCAAGGCGACGAUCUCUAGCUGGUUUGAGAGGAGGGUCAGGCAGACUGGGACUGAGAACCGGCCCAGACUCCGACGGGAGGCAGCAGUUGGGAAUAUUGGACAAUAGGCGAAAGCCUGAGCCAGCAAGACCGCGUGUGUGAAGAAGGCCCUAGGGUUGUAAAGAACUUUUGUUAAGGAGGUGUUACCUAAAGAAUAAGCACCGGCUAACUCCGUGCCAGCAGCCGCGGUAAUUC
Molecule: ribosomal RNA, 406 nt
Filed under: uncultured bacterium
Lineage: Bacteria
Description: partial 16S ribosomal RNA
Rfam family: Bacterial small subunit ribosomal RNA
Source: RNAcentral